RNAcentral lists this ribosomal RNA (254 nucleotides) under uncultured bacterium. RNAcentral describes it as "partial 16S ribosomal RNA". It matches the Rfam family "Bacterial small subunit ribosomal RNA", at positions 524 to 776 of the family's 1533-position model. The record is from RNAcentral.
UACGGAGGGUGCGAGCGUUGUCCGGAAUCAUUGGGCGUAAAGGGCGCGUAGGUGGCCCGGUCAGUUCGUGGUGAAAGCGCGGGGCUCAACCCUGCGUCGGCCAUGAAUACUGCCGCGGCUGGAGCACUGUAGAGGCAGGCGGAAUUCCGGGUGUAGCGGUGAAAUGCGCAGAUAUCAGGAGGAACACCGGUGGCGAAGGCGGGUCUCUGGGCCGAUACUGACGCUGAGGAACGAAAGCGUGGGGAGCGAACAGG